AAAGAAGGUGAUGCCGAAGCUGAGGUCGGAAAUUACGAAGAUCAGCUAUCAAACUUGGAAAUCAUGUCUUAGAGAUCAAGGAGCCAAGAGAUGAGACAAGCCUGGGUUCCUAGGUGAUAGGGUGUGGCUGUGUCCCCACCCAAAUCUCGUCUUGAAUUGUAGCUCCCAUAAUCCCCACAUGUUGUGGAGGGACCCUGUGGAAGGAAGGCCUGAGGAGAGAAGACACAUAGUCAUGCUGACUAAACCAGAUCACCUAGAAUUACCAAAUGGAAAGCAUCUACUUGUUUCCAAAGUUAUUUGGGUCAGCAUUUUCCUCCACCCACCACUUAAAACUGAUUUGUUUCAUACAUUUGAAAUGUAUGAAAAGCCAGAAAUCCAGGACCCACCCUGGCCUGCUCCCUUUUUCUCACCUACUGUGUUAAGGAUAAGUCAAUUGAGCUUCACUUCUCUAAUUGAAAUCACCGUGCUGAUGGAGUCUGUCUGUGGAAAUGAAAGGUGGCUACCAUAAUCUGUUGGGAGUUGAAUUAAUCCUCUGGGAGUGAGGCUGACCUAAUUACUCAGAAAUACUGGGCUUGCUUUCAUUCUGUGGAAUACAGCCAUGAGAAAGAGGCCAGCAUGCCAUUUCCUAAUCUUUUCUUGAAUUGCCUGAAACUCACCUAACAUGAAACUGAGAAGCCUUUUCAUUUGAAAGUGGUAUUUCUUAUGUUUUUUAUCUUUUUGCUUGAAAGUAUUCUUAAACUAAAGAAAGGAGAAACAGAAAAGGUGAAGAAGCCAAGAGGCUGGAGUUUCCUUUUGAAUGGAUAUUCAUCCAUGAAGCUGUUGAUUCUGUUUUUCUGUUCCUCCAGAUGUCUACACUUUUACCUCUGCUUGCCUGAUACAACCACCACCAGUCACCUCACAGAAUAACUCACUCCUUAAGAAUCUGAUCAGGAAUCAGCCUUCCCUGAUCACAAACACUGAGUUUAGAAGUCCCUCCACAGUGUCCCCCGUAACCCUGUGCUACCUCACUGCCUCAUAGUUUAGUGCCGUUUGUGUACAUGCCUAUCUUCGUCCAUGGAUCCAGAACAACUUGUAAAAAUGACUGUACUUAUCACCUUCAGUAUUCAAUGACUAAACUAUAAUUUUAACAUAUCUGGCAGAAUGAAUCACUUGGGGAUUUCUGCCAACACUACCAAUAUAUUACUCCUAAUUUGUAAUUAUUACUUAGCAUGGAUUAUAGUACCGGCUGUUGGAGAGCCAAUGUGGCAGACCCUAAGUGGAAUAAAAUGUCAGUAGCAGUCUAGGAGCAUAUAUUUAUUGGAAUAGAUCAUUCAUUCAUUUGUUCAUUAACUAAUUUGUUCAUUAAAUAAACAUUUAUUAAGCA
This 1363-nucleotide long non-coding RNA is filed under the name Homo sapiens (human). RNAcentral's name for it is "CCDC26 long non-coding RNA". Lineage: Eukaryota; Metazoa; Chordata; Mammalia; Primates; Hominidae. The record is from RNAcentral.